This 465-nucleotide ribosomal RNA is filed under the name Vreelandella stevensii. RNAcentral describes it as "partial 16S ribosomal RNA". It matches the Rfam family "Bacterial small subunit ribosomal RNA", at positions 338 to 795 of the family's 1533-position model. Lineage: Bacteria; Pseudomonadati; Pseudomonadota; Gammaproteobacteria; Oceanospirillales; Halomonadaceae. The record is from RNAcentral.
CCUACGGGUGGCUGCAGUGGGGAAUAUUGGACAAUGGGGGGAACCCUGAUCCAGCCAUGCCGCGUGUGUGAAGAAGGCCCUCGGGUUGUAAAGCACUUUCAGUGAGGAAGAACGCCUGGUGGUUAAUACCCAUCAGGAAAGACAUCACUCACAGAAGAAGCACCGGCUAACUCCGUGCCAGCAGCCGCGGUAAUACGGAGGGUGCGAGCGUUAAUCGGAAUUACUGGGCGUAAAGCGCGCGUAGGUGGCUUGAUAAGCCGGUUGUGAAAGCCCCGGGCUCAACCUGGGAACGGCAUCCGGAACUGUCAAGCUAGAGUGCAGGAGAGGAAGGUAGAAUUCCCGGUGUAGCGGGGAAAUGCGUAGAGAUCGGGAGGAAUACCAGUGGCGAAGGCGGCCUUCUGGACUGACACUGACACUGAGGUGCGAAAGCGUGGGUAGCAAACAGGAUUAGAUACCCUAGUAGUC